GGAUGUGAGGGCAUUCUGGCAGCGACAUCUGUCACCUCACUGAUUCAGCAACAUCUGUCACCUCACUGAUUCAGCUGAUCUGGCUGGCUAGUCUGGUGUCCUCUUCCUUCCUCACCGCUCAAUGUGCGUCCCUAUGGAAGAUUCAUGCUCAGUUGAAAAGGACUACCAUCCUCCAUAGAGGAAGGCCAUUCUUCUGUUAAGGGUAUAUGAGCAUCUAUGCUCCCCUGCUAGAACCUUCAAACAAGCACUCAAGGUGACCCUUUAUAAAAAAAUAUUCAGUCAAUGUGAUGGUUUGCCCUGAUGGAAUUUUGAAUGUUAAACCCUCUUUUCU
Molecule: small nuclear RNA, 331 nt
Filed under: Castor canadensis (American beaver)
Lineage: Eukaryota; Metazoa; Chordata; Mammalia; Rodentia; Castoridae
Description: 7SK RNA (ENSCCNG00000012320.1)
Rfam family: 7SK RNA
About the family: 7SK was discovered as an abundant small nuclear RNA in the mid-70s but a possible function has only recently been suggested.
Source: Rfam by way of RNAcentral